AUUUCCUGAGUGCAAUUCCUUGCUUUAAGAGUCUGUAUUUUCAUGCUUAGGCUUUUAGACCAGCUGCCAAAAGUCAAUGUUUCUCUCUUGUGACAUCUUUUUGGAGUGUUACAUAACAUUGAGCAACAUUCCUCAUCCAAUCAGAUGACAGCUUAUAAUUUAGCCAUGUGUAUAGCCCAAACAUUCUUUACCUGUCUACUUCCUGCAACUCAGAAGUAGUAAAUGAGUUCACCAAAAAGAUAAUGAGAUGUCUCAUUUUUAUUCCCUGAGGAGCAGUGUUCCCACUUUGAACCUCAAAUUCAGGAUAUUAAUUCUGAUGAACCACUUUUUUAAGCUGCACACUUUACUCACACCUCUUAAGCAGCAGUGUCACUAAUCCUAUUCUAGGAGUGGCAGAAUGUAGAAGAUAUAUGAGAAGGUAGGUUGUUAAAUAGGAAAUUGAAAAUAGUGAGUCAUUUCUUUCCUAUCUAGGAGACAAAACACUAGAUUGACUAUACCACAAAGAGAUAAGAUAGUGGUGGUGUGACAUGAUGGGGGGAAAAAAAAGCUGUUCUUUGGAGUUUGACAAGCCAAGAUUCAACUCUCAGUCUCAUCACUGAGGGAUGUGUAACCUUAGGCAAAGAUUCCAAGCCACGGUUUCCUCAUCUCAACAAUGGCAGUGGUGAUAAGUCCCAGCUCCUCUGGUCAUUACUGAUACUUCAUUGGUGGUUUGAAUUAUAUGAACACUCAUGGCUCCACACAUAUUGCCUUUCUCUAUCAAUUGGGCCUCACAAUUGGCAUUCAGGGAACUACCUGGUUACUAUUUUGUCUCUGCUACUGGAAUGAAAAGCUAGUAAAACUUUAUAGGAUAUCCUAAGAUCACCCAGAGAGGAAUCCUGAGACCAGACAAUGCAUGGAGAUGGACUGUGGUUAGAUGAGGGGACAUUUUCUUUCCUGCUGCCUCCUUUCACAAAAGACCCUCAGAGAAUCUCUGCUUCCCAAGUUUAAGAUACUUAACAAGUUUCUGUUGUACAACUUCUCAUUGAAAACUGCCUCAGCAUUUUUGGAGAAGACAUCACUUCCCUCUUGGGGAAGAGCUGAAUGGCUUGUGAAAACAAUGAUGGCUUUAGAUUUGAAACUGGGAGUUCAGAACUCAAAUUUCACUUGCUAAAGAACAAAUAGGAGCACUGAUAAAAAUGUACUUUGAGAUUUUUGUAGGCUCUAUAUGUUAUAAUUUGGAGUAUGGUAUUGUAAAAGCUGGAGAAGAAGUUGUGAAACAGAGAAGAUUCACCUUUGCUGAUUGAAUUGCAUUCAG
RNAcentral lists this long non-coding RNA (1294 nucleotides) under Callithrix jacchus (white-tufted-ear marmoset). RNAcentral describes it as "lncRNA (ENSCJAG00000081060.1)". Lineage: Eukaryota; Metazoa; Chordata; Mammalia; Primates; Cebidae. The record is from RNAcentral.